This is a long non-coding RNA of Triticum urartu, 2154 nucleotides long. RefSeq lists it as uncharacterized. Lineage: Eukaryota; Viridiplantae; Streptophyta; Magnoliopsida; Poales; Poaceae. The record is from RefSeq and is a predicted model, not a curated record.
UGCUACUAUGCCACCAACCGUCCACUCCACGUACUCCCACACCACCCACCCCGAGCCAGAUCUAGAUCGAGACCCCCUGCACCAGCGGCCUCCCGUCCAACCUUCCUCAACCUCCUCUCCUCUGCUGUCCACCGGAGGCCCCUGCACACACGGGAAACUGCUGCUCGGCAUCUCCAGCAGCCAAGGCCGGGCUCCCGGCCUGUGCGCAGCGUCGUCUCUUCCUUCCCCGUCGCCAUCUGUCACCGUCGUCGUCGCGGUCCGGCCCUCCACGCCGCAGCGAUAAGCACGCAAGCACGCACGCUGCCGCUCCCCUGCCUCUCUCCCCGUCCAUCUCCGUCGAUUCCCUUUGUCGGCGUCGGCGGGGAUCGGCCUAGUGGACUGCGGUUCCCGCUUUGGUGGGUGGGGUCACAACUGAUUUGGCAUGACGGUGGCGAGCGUCGAUCGAUCGAUUGCAAGCCCCUGAUGUUGUGCUCGCUUCGCUGUGUCAUCUAAAGAUUACUAGUUCUGUUCAUGAUCUGUUCAGUGUUAUUUUAUUACUGCAUUGGUAGGGAUCUAGCGCACUGCCACCCAGUUUAUUUUUUGCAUAGUGCGUUGAUUCCAGGCUCGCUGAUGUGUAGGAGCGAUUCAUGUUGUUCUACAGAUCGUCACCGAUAAUACGGGGUGAAGAGGAAAAGGCUCAUGAAACCCAGUAAAUUUCUUGCUGGUUUAGUGCGCUUGUGUCAUCUUGUAUAUUAUAUUAGGAGAAAACGCCCUUCCAUGCUUCUUGUACUAAUUCUGAUUCUUAGGUUUUUACUUGUUGCUUUUCUAGGCAUGUGUGUGUUCUUGUAGAUUCACACAAAGAAAUACCUGCUACGUGCAGGUUGGUUGUGGGGUUCGUUUGCUAUUUUUCUUAGUCCUUCCAUGUGCAAGAGAGGUAGUAGCUCUCUACCUUCAACGAAGUAGCCACAUGGUUGACUACCAAACCUUAUACUUAUGUUGUUGCUUGUUGGCCUGCUCCGUAUAGUUGUCAUGCUUGUGGUCGAUUCAGCCGGGGAUCAACAACGCCGUCAUCGCCGGUGGCAUGGAUACCAUGUCCAAUGCCCCCAAAUACGCUGCAACAGCAAGGUUCCUACUAACUUAAGAAGAAUGGCUCUCUAACUGUCGGCAGCUCUUCUAGUAUAAAGUUUGUUGUUUACGUAUUCUGACUAGUCGUUUACUAUCUCUGUAGAUAGUUUCUUACUUUCUUAGAUGGAAACCUCGCAGAGUAGUUAGUGUGCAGCCAGAGUCCAGUAUGAUAUCUCAAUCUUGAGUAAAGCAUUUGAAUUUAAGCUAGUAGAUAUUGAGCUCUAUGAUUGAAGUGUCUCUGUUGAAUACAUCUAUUCUGGAAAAAAAACACAUUUGCUUCUAUGAUAAGUAAGGUCUGUUUUCAUUUACAGGUAGAAGAUAGCAAUGGAGUGGUAAGAUUUGUGCAGAGAUCUUCUCCUCCGUCGCCGUCCGCGACAAAGCUACUGGGUGCAUCCGUCCAUCUUCAGAUCUGAAUGAAGAGGGCUUCCGUCCAUCUCAAAAGGAUAUGGAUGACUAUCUGAAAGUAUGCAGGUUUCUUAUCAAACUUAACAACGAGAUACUAGGUGAAAGAAAUGCUGCCUACAAGGAAAGGUUGAGCAGCCUAGAGAAUUUAGUACUGAUCAUGGGGUGAUCGACGUGGACUACCGCGACCAGGUGGGCAUCGUGCUCUUCAACCACUCAGAGACGGACUUCACCGUGAAGCCCGGUGACCGCGUCAUAGAGAUGAUUAUCCAGGUGAUUGCAGCGCCGGAGGUCGCCGAGGUGGAGGACCUUGACGCCACCGUCCGGAGUCGUUGAGGUGGAGGACCUCGACCCCACUGUCUGGAGGUUGCCCAGGUGAAGGACCUCGACGCCUUGGUAGAUACAUCUAGAGAAGUGGUAUACUUAGGUUGGUGGUGGAAUGCUAGGGAAGAUACCUACCUUUCGGUGAUGUUUGUGUGCGUCUGAAGUAUUGAUCUCUUUGAAUUGAGAUGUUCAAUGUUGUAUCCAUGAAUGCUGCAAGUGCUAAGUAAGAAUGUAAGUGUUAAAAUGGUUGUGUGACCUUCAUUUAUUUUUCCCUGGAUGUGUCCUGAUUUGUAUCCAUGAAUAUUGCAUCUAUUAUUUUGAUUU